This 2541-nucleotide long non-coding RNA is filed under the name Numida meleagris (helmeted guineafowl). RNAcentral describes it as "lncRNA (ENSNMEG00000022438.1)". The record is from RNAcentral. Lineage: Eukaryota; Metazoa; Chordata; Aves; Galliformes; Numididae.
UUUUGGUAGUCUGGUGGUAGUAUGAAAUCAAGAUCAGGAUCAGACAUGCUUUCAAAAGAAUCAUUUCUCUAUACACAGAGGCUAUAUUUUACUGAUAAUCAGGUGAUUUCCACAGAACAUUCUUCCACAGCAUUCUUUACAGUUUGGGAGAAUGAAUGAGCAUGCCAAAGUGGGUGAAGGUGAAGGUAUAGGUCCCAUUUGUGAGAAUUCAUAUGUCAGGGACAACCCUCUCAUCUCCCAGAUAUCCACAAAUGAAAAGUACCUCUUUUAGCAAAUAUGUUUUUUCUAGCAGAAAAGUACCACUUUUAGCAAAUAUGUUUUUUUAGCAAAAAAAAAAAACAGCAACAACUGUUAAAAGUUGUUGUAGCCUCUAUUAACCAGGAUUGGCAGAUGACAUAUUCUGUGGCUUUUUGCAUGUUACAAAUUGCCUUUGGAAGAGUAAAUGUGGUCCCUUCCCAGCUAAUCAUGGCCUGCAGAUUAAUAAAAUACAUAGACUUAUGCACAACAUUAGCUGAUAUGAGCAGGAUCUCAUGAAAUCUCCCAGCUGCCUACUUCUAUCAGGUUUGGAAGACCGUAAAUAUAAUAGUGAUUUGAUAAAAUCAGAGCUGCCGUAACAUGUGGAUUCUAGUGCUUGUGGAUCAACCCUGCUGUAACUUACUCCCUCUGUAGCCUUCCUCCCUUUGGGGCCCAGUUCUGUGCUCCAGAGAUUCAAGGCCCUACUCUGAUCACCUUGGGCUGGACUUCAGCAAUCUCUGAAAAGCAGUCAUGUGAGAAAGCCUGUAGAACACAGGCUUGCAGAAAAUGGAAGUUAAAACUACAGAAACAAAAUUGUUGAGACAGGGAAUGCAGGUAGUUCAGAGAUUCAAGAAAUAAAAUACAAAAAUGGAAAGCUAUAAAAUCCUAAGGGAAACAGCGUGUCAUCAACACAGAGGAUUGUCUCUAGGAAGCCACAGGAGCUGACCCUUCACCUCCAGACUGAUGUCUGUUUGGCCAGGAAAGACACUUUUGGUGCUUUAUCAGGGUGGCUUAACAAGUCCUGAGGAGCCAGCAGAAGAAAUCUCCCUCACAGUACCCUCAUGGCAUGAUACUACGACCCUUCACAAAGCUCGAGAUUUGGAUGAAGCUACUAACGCUGCCAGCAAAGGACCCUGCAAAAGUUUUAAAGAUAAAAAACUUCCAGGGAGCAGAGGGGAAGCCAAACUGAAACUACGCACUGAUAUCAGACAGGUUAAAAAAUAACAGUCAGGUUUCAGGCAGAUUGCAUUUUUCUGUCUUGUUUAAUCUCUGUUGAAGAAGAGAAGGGAGAUUUGUGCCUGAAUUGUUUGCUUUUCUCCUUGUCAUUAUCUAUACAACAUCUUAAAUUCUCCCCUUCCCAAUCUGAGGUGACUUACAGAGGCUCCCUGUCAAACACAGACACUACACAACACCGUAUUAGAUUACACACUUUGUUAGAAAAUUGGCAUUUUAGAUACUAAAUGAUAGCCUAUGCUCUGCAGCCAUGCUGUCAUUCUUGCUCUAAAAUCUUGUCAGAGUCUAUAAAUUAAGCAGCAUUUGGGCCUGGAGUUACAUGAAAGGGAGGGCUGUGGGAAACGGGGUGGCUACUUCAACCUUUCAGACUUAUGUUUAAGGGAAAAUUCUCUCCCAUCUGACACUGGAUGUGAAUAUUAUCCCAGCACUGAACAAGCAGCAUUUUCUCAGACACUUGAGUAACAAAGCGCCACCUAAAUGACCACUUCUACGACCUGAAGGGUCUAUAUAAUGGUUGUUUCCCUUCAUAGAAGCUGCAUCUUACUGUGAUGCUAUGGCACCCAAGCUAUAAGAGAUAUUGCCUAAGCGUGUACUGACUGAAACAACAGCUUUGACGGACCAACUCCACAGUGCAGAAGAUCACUGCUUUGAAAAGAUGAGCCAGCAUUGCUUAGACACAGCACUUGAACUACUGCAGAAAAAAAGGAGGAUAUAUUGAGCUAGCUCACCCCUCUGCUUUCCCAUGUACAUUUUAAAUCCAGGGAAGUAAACUGAGGAAUCCUUACAAUCUAGCCCCUUGUUACUGAGGAGAUGACUCUGUUUGUGACUAUGACAAAAACUCAGCCAGAAAAUAACAUGAAGAACAAUAUCCUGGUGCAGUGUUCCUGGGAUCUCCUGCUACUUUCAAGUGGUGAAUAUCCCACAGCAAUUACACAUAAAACCAAGGAUGAAUAUCUUUUUGUCUGGCAGUCUUUACAGAAGGAAAUAUCUACAUAUUGCCUCCACAACUGUAGAGAGGUUUAUUCCAGGGCCAGGUAGCUGUAACAUAUACAAAAUUCUUUGCUAUCACUAAAAAUGGAGAUGUCCACUUUCCAAGUAACUAGUAGGCCUGCGUGGUGCAGUGGUUUCAGUCAGACAAGAUGUAUGCAAAUGAAUGACUGCAGAAGGCCACCAGUGCUGUGCUCCUUCAAUAUAACAGGAUUCAAAGCAUAGGUAGCUUUGCUGCAGCCAUGCUGCUUCAAGAACAUGAGUGAGGCUAUGUUUGUGUGUGAAUAAAAGCUCAAAAAACACUCA